CGGAGUUAGAAGGCCUUGAUCCUUCACAACACUAGUUAACAGCUAGUUCACCCACCAAUAGGUACUAACCCC
RNAcentral lists this transfer RNA (72 nucleotides) under Physignathus cocincinus. Its description in RNAcentral is "tRNA-Asn". Lineage: Eukaryota; Metazoa; Chordata; Lepidosauria; Squamata; Agamidae. The record is from RNAcentral.